ACGGCCAUAUCUCGUCGAAACAUCGGUUCCCGUACGAUCAUCGAAGUUAACCAACGUCGGACUUAAUCAGUACCUAGGUGAGUGACCGCUUAGGAAUACCAGGUGCU
Molecule: non-coding RNA, 107 nt
Organism: Acanthosepion pharaonis
Lineage: Eukaryota; Metazoa; Mollusca; Cephalopoda; Sepiida; Sepiidae
Source: the annotation of a GenBank genome assembly